GAAUAUCUGAAGAGUUCGACAUUUGUUUUUCUAUUUUGACCUAACACUUUUGAUUAGGGAGCCAGAUAGGUUUUCAUGCUGAGCACACGCCUCUCCUGGAGGACGUGCAAGGUAAGAAACGGGGCACCCACCUGUUUAUAGCAGGCCAAAAUAAUCAACUUAAUAAUGACGGCUCAGUUGGAUAUUAU
RNAcentral lists this non-coding RNA (188 nucleotides) under Macrococcus bovicus. RNAcentral describes it as "6S RNA". It matches the Rfam family "6S / SsrS RNA". From Rfam's summary of the family: E. coli 6S RNA was the first non coding RNA to be sequenced, but its function was unknown until recently. It consists of 184 nucleotides that fold into an extended hairpin structure with a large single-stranded internal bulge. The record is from RNAcentral. Lineage: Bacteria; Bacillati; Bacillota; Bacilli; Caryophanales; Staphylococcaceae.